AGGUUAUUGAGUCAUGUUGGUACAGUCCAUCCGCACACAGGACUUCUCUUUUCUUUUGGAGCCGCGAUGACGCGUCGACGCCCCUGUCGUGCGAUGACUUUGAGCGACAGGUGGCUGACACUUUGGACUCGUUGCCAGCUUAUGGCAGCAAACAUACAGGGUUCCACACGCACGCCACAUGUGCCCGCCCGCAUCACCAUCCCCCUACCCCAAAAACACACUUUUUGGGGGGGGGGGGGGUGGAAGGGUGGGGGUGGGGGGGAUACUGGCCAUCCUGGUUCACACACAAACCAGCUCCUCAAGAGAGUCACAAGGGACAUCUCCGUCGGAGGAAGGCAAGAGAAUUCUGGGAGUGGAGGAGGAGGCCGUUUGGUUGGAGAGGACCAAACGGCAGGAAAUGAGAACGCUCCCCCGUGACUGGGUUGAAUGUGUAAUCGGAGGCCCAGAUCAGUCGGAGGAUUAAAGAGGGGGGGGGGGG
Hippocampus zosterae (dwarf seahorse) is the source of this 478-nucleotide long non-coding RNA. RefSeq lists it as uncharacterized. The transcript has 3 exons. The record is from RefSeq and is a predicted model, not a curated record. NCBI's taxonomy places the organism in Eukaryota, Metazoa, Chordata, Actinopteri, Syngnathiformes, Syngnathidae.